Molecule: long non-coding RNA, 1641 nt
Organism: Cornus florida
Lineage: Eukaryota; Viridiplantae; Streptophyta; Magnoliopsida; Cornales; Cornaceae
Exons: 4
Source: RefSeq, a predicted model, not a curated record
CGAAAUUUAGGACGCCAAACUUUAGCUAGUUUGUUUCUAAAUUUACCAAUCUCGUCGAGCCCUAGGAUUCUCUUCAGCCUCCCCAAUCGCCUCCAUCUCUAUUCUCGGUCUCAACUCUGAACUUGCCCCCCUCUCUCUCUCUGCAACUCCCCAUUCGCGUCAAUCUCUAUUCUCGUUCUCAACACUGAAGUUCCCCCCCCUCUCUCUCUGCAACUCCCUAAUCGCCUCCAUCUCAAUUCUCUUUUCUCAACUCUGAACUUACCCCCCUCUCUCUCUGCAACUGCUAACUAGAAAAUCUACUAGAAUCAGAAGUUGAAAACCCAUAUAUUUCAGUUUAUCUAUCUGUCUGCAAGAAUCAAAAGUUCAAAACCUAUUACCUAAUCAAAACCCAUAUCUGAUAUGCCAGAUUGUUUAAAAAAUCAAAACCCAUAUCUUUCAGUUUCCAUCGCCCGCUGUUUCAGUUCGCGUUCGCCGUUCGUAAGCUUCAGCCGCUGUGUGUUUUUGUGUAUUGAUCUGUUGAUUAAUCGAUUCCUGAUUUUUUGGAGGAAAGUCGGAGGAAAGAGAGAAGGAUGUGGUGGAAGUGAUGAUGGUAGGCAGCAGGGCGAGUUAGGGUUUGUGAAUGGGAAGGACAGGAGGUUCUUUAUUUAUCUUUUCAUUCUCUGACAUACAAUGUUGUUUUGAUUCUGAUUAAUAUUUUUUUCUUCAUUUUUGGGGCUUUGAUUGCAGUCGUCGACUGUUGUUGAAAUUCCUAGACCAACAUUGUAUGUCAGAGAAUGAAAAGAUCAACAAGUUUAAGUCUCAUGCAGAAACUGAAGAACAGACUGUGUCAGCUUUUGACUUCUUGUAUCUUCCAAUGGAUUUCAAGUAUGUUAUUCCUUGCUCUAGCAGUUCAGCCAUGAAGUCGGGAGUAGGCGAUCUUCAUAUGCUCUCUCUCUCUUUGGUACUCUCUCUCUAUUAAAUCUACAGGAGAAUAUUUGCCAUGGAAGUUAGCAAAAAGAUUUGGUAUGGCUUGAGAGGGUAGCUUCCUUUGAAGAGAAGAGGAGGAAAUAUUCAAAGAGAUGACAAAGAUGAGGAAGGAAACUCAUCAUCUUGAGUUAAGUCUGCAAUGCUACAAGGGCGAUCUGAGUUCUGUGAGGUAUAAAUCCGGAUGAACAACAGCUAGAAGUCACUCAACAGGGUUCAAGCUCGAAAGUUGAUGAGCAAUCAUGUUCAGAAGCAACAAGCUGCAGAGGUGGAGAUUCAUCAGCACGCGAUGACAGAACUGAAGCUAGUGGGACAGCAGCAGCAGCAAGUGUUGGAUCAGUUUCACUUCUAUGGAGAAGAGAAGCAGCCCGGUGGUGUGCUUCAGCUGCAACCUGAAAACCUCCCUUUUCAGCUCUGCCCGUAUUGUACAUAGCUCAUGCCUAUUUACUUGUUGGGAUUCUUGAAUUGGUUAUGUUAUUGGCUGUUUUUUAUUUAUUUCAAAGAUGGGCCAGAGGCAGUUGCAAAAUCUACUCAUUUGUUCCUUUUUUUUUUAGUUUCUUCCGGUUUCUCUUCCUCCUUUUUUAGGGAGUGAUGCAACUUUGUUGAAUGUAUAAUAAAGAUAUUUUCUCAUGGGAUCCCUGUUGGAAUCAAAUAAAGAUUUCUGCUAUAUGUUUAUGA